This 162-nucleotide small RNA is filed under the name Kytococcus sp. RNAcentral's name for it is "c-di-AMP sequence". The record is from RNAcentral. Lineage: Bacteria; Bacillati; Actinomycetota; Actinomycetes; Micrococcales; Kytococcaceae.
GCCACGACGCCGUUGAUGUCCGACGAAAGUCGAUGGCGGGAACGGGGUACCCACAACUGACGGCCUCCAGCCGUCUCGGGGUGAAGCCAGGUGUCCCCCUGGCCGGUUUCACAGGAGCCGAACCCGACAGGUCAUACUCCGCAAGCGAUCCUGAGAUCCCUC